RNAcentral lists this long non-coding RNA (1453 nucleotides) under Felis catus (domestic cat). Its description in RNAcentral is "lncRNA (ENSFCAG00000047359.1)". The record is from RNAcentral. Lineage: Eukaryota; Metazoa; Chordata; Mammalia; Carnivora; Felidae.
GUAGCCCGGAGGGAAAGGGCAGAAUCCUUCACUCCCAAAGGCUUGGUGCCCUGUUGCGAGAGGGAACGGGCUGACGGGAGUAUUUCUCUUCCUAAGGCUGGCAAAUUCUCAGCCCCUACACUGACCCUUGCAAGUUCCUUCGCCAUCAUUUCGUGGGUGUUGCUUUAUGUUUGCAUUUGGACUUGACUCAUUUUCCCCCCUUUCAUGGCCCUGUAUUGUUCCUCCUUUCGGAAGAUAGUAAUUGCAUAGCUGCUUUACUGGACCCCUCCAAGCCGGCAGGGUUCAUUAGAGAUUUCUAGAUUAAGAGCCGUGACGCUGGACCUCAGGUCCUGGAGGUCCCGGAGGACAGUCCAGUGAAGGGUCACUGCAGCCUGGGGCUCUAAGUAGCCCAGAGCAGACACCAAGGCAGGCCCUGUUCUGAUGCUCUGGGAGCACUAACUUACGCCAUCCUCAUGGUGACUUUGGGAGGGAGGUGCCAUUAUUACACCAUUUGACAGAAGGUGAAGCUGGGGCCCAGAGAGGGUAAGCAACUUGCUUAAGAUGACUCAUGAAGUCCAUGGCUGAGCCAGGAUUUGAACCCUGGCAGCAUGGCACCACCACAGCCUGUGCACAACCUCUAAAUUUCCCUGACUUUCUGGAACAGACAGCGAGCCUGGCAACCACUGGGAAUGAUGGCGGUGGAGGAGUGAGGACAAACAGACUCGGGGAAGGGAGAGGCAGCUGGACAGCUUUGAGCUUUGAGCUCCCCUCUGAGCCAACAGACGGAGAGCACAGAGAUGAGGCUCUAAGUGUGGUGGGUCCUGGGCUCCAUCAGCAUUCAUGGGCGACCUCCCUGGUCCCAGAAGUGUUGAGGAGAAGCUCAACCUGGGAAGACAGCAGAGGUGAGAUCCUUCUUUCUUCCUGGUGCCUUGAUCGGAACUGACUCCCUAUAUGCAGCUACUCCCAGGACUGCUGCCACUUAAGGAACCCCUAGAAGCUGGCCCUGAGCUUCAAAGGACAGAUAAAAGAAACCUGUGCAUGUAAGAGGGCUCAGCAGGCAGAGAGAGGGGGAAGAAGAACCCACCGAACAGCUCCUCAAGGAAAUAACACUGACAGCCUGUGCAGAAGUAACAAGGACCUUCAAACACACUCCCAAAAAAGGACUUCCGGGAACUAAAUCAUAUUUUUGACUAAAAUACUCAUUGAAUGAAUGAAGGCAGAAUAUAGACUUAGAAGAUCAAGUGCAAAAAUAUCCCAAACAGGGACGCCUGGGUGCCGUUUGAGCGUCCGACUCUUGAUUUCAGUCAUGAUCUCAAAUGGUUUGUGAGUUCAAGCCCUGGGUCAGGUUCUGUGUUGACAGCGUGGAGCCUGCUUGGGAUUCUCUCUCUCCCUCUCUCUCUGCCCCUCCCCUGCUCUCUGUCUCUCUCGAAAAUGAGUAAAUAAACAUUAAAAAUAAUAAUAUAUUAAAAAUACU